UAGUACGGCGAGUGAAGAGGGAAGAGCCCAAGAUUGAAAGCUGGCGUCUUCGGCGUCCGCAUUGUAAUCUCAAGAAGUGUUUUCCGCUUCGGACCAUGCCUAAGUCCCUUGGAAAAGGGCAUCAUAGAGGGUGAUAAUCCCGUACAUGGCAUGGAGCGCCCGAAGCUUUGUGAUACGCUUUCUAAGAGUCGAGUUGUUUGGGAAUGCAGCUCAAAAUGGGUGGUAAAUGCCAUCUAAGGCUAAAUAUUGGGGAGAGACCGAUAGCGAACAAGUACAGUGAUGGAAAGAUGAAAAGAACUUUGAAAAGAGAGUUAAACAGUACGUGAAAUUGCCAAAAGGGAAGGGUAGGAGGUCAGAGAUGCGGCCUGGGAUUCAGCCUUGCUUUUGCUUGGUGUUUUUCCCAGAUUGCAGGCCAACGUCGGUUUUGGGCACUGGAGAAGGGUAGGAGGAACGUGGCACCUCUCGGGGUGUGUUAUAGCCUCCUACUGGAUACAGCGACCGAGACCGAGGACAGCAGCGUACUCGCAAGAGCGGGCCUUCGGGCACCUUUACGCUUAGGGCGUUGGCAUAAUGGCCCUCUACCACCCGUCUGA
RNAcentral lists this ribosomal RNA (593 nucleotides) under uncultured Pseudozyma. RNAcentral describes it as "eukaryotic LSU rRNA". It matches the Rfam family "Eukaryotic large subunit ribosomal RNA", at positions 81 to 656 of the family's 3401-position model. Lineage: Eukaryota; Fungi; Basidiomycota; Ustilaginomycetes; Ustilaginales; Ustilaginaceae. The record is from RNAcentral.